AUGGCUCCUCAUGCAGAGCUGCUCAGAGACAUCCCAGAGAAACACAUGUGUUCAAGGCUGGAGCCAGCUGACCGACGGGACACUGUAGGAUGCUCCGCGAUGUCCUAGGGAAAACCUUCCGCUUUCUGGGCUACACUGUGCAGUAUGGCUGCAUAGCACACUGUGCCUUUGAGUACCUUGGAGGAAUUGUUGUGUGUUCUGGACCUUCAAUGGAACCAACCAUUCAAAAUUCUGAUGUUGUGUUCUCGGAGAACCUGAGCCGCCACUUUUAUUGCAUCCGAAAAGGAGAUAUUGUAAUUGUGAAAAGCCCAACUGACCCCAAAUCAAAUAUCUGUAAAAGAGUAAUUGGCUUGGAAGGGGAUAAAGUCUGCACAAGCAACCCUUCAGAUUUCCUUAAGAGUCACAGCUAUCUGCCCCGCAGACAACCGGUUCUGCCUGAGAACUGCUGCUCCUUGGAAAUAAAUCCUCGGAUAAUCUGCACAAAACCAGAGGCACAGGGGUUGCUCAGGCAAAGGGAGGAGUCUGCAGACAAUCAGAGGUUUGCACAGCUUUGCAGUGUUUUAGAUUGGGUCCUGAUUCUGCAAAGGUUGAUACUCCAACUGAACUUUAUUCCAUGUUGUAGUGAAGUGCCUAGAUGGUGGACAGACACCACACAAAGGUGCCUAAAGGACAUGUUUGGUUAGAAGGUGAUAAUCUCAGGAAUUCUACAGAUUCCAGGUGCUACGGACCCGUUCCUUACGGACUGAUAAGAGGACGCAUUUGUCUUAAGCUUUGGCCUCUGAAUGACUUUGGAUUUCUCCGUGCAAGCCCCAACGGCCACAGAUUUCUUGACGAUUAAAAGAUUUAAGUUACUCUGGCCGGUUUUCGUAAUAUUUUCUACUAAAACUGAUGGAACUAUUUUUGUUUAGAAUAAACACAGAGAUUACUUGACA
Manacus vitellinus (golden-collared manakin) is the source of this 932-nucleotide RNA transcript. It is a transcript of the gene named inner mitochondrial membrane peptidase subunit 1, with no coding region annotated. The record is from RefSeq and is a predicted model, not a curated record. The transcript has 9 exons. NCBI's taxonomy places the organism in Eukaryota, Metazoa, Chordata, Aves, Passeriformes, Pipridae.